CUGGCGCUGGAGCCGAUGGUGAACCACUGGUGGCAGGUGCCGCUCUAUGUCACCGCGACCGGGCUGACGACGUCGCCGAUGCCUUAUCAGUCGCGCAGCUUCCAGAUCGACUUCGACUUCUGCCGCCACGCGCUUGUCAUCNGCGAUCCGCAACAUGUGGAAUUCGCGCUCGCGCCGAUGACCGUCGCGGAAUUCUAUGACCGGACGAUGCAAACUCUGCGCGAUCUUGGCAUCGAGAUGACCAUCUGGACCACG
RNAcentral lists this unclassified non-coding RNA (255 nucleotides) under Hevea brasiliensis (rubber tree). The record is from RNAcentral. Lineage: Eukaryota; Viridiplantae; Streptophyta; Magnoliopsida; Malpighiales; Euphorbiaceae.